UGGGGAAUAUUGCACAAUGGGCGCAAGCCUGAUGCAGCCAUGCCGCGUGUGUGAAGAAGGCCUUCGGGUUGUAAAGCUCUGUCUUUUGGGACGAUAAUGACGGUACCAAAGGAGGAAGCCACGGCUAACUACGUGCCAGCAGCCGCGGUAAUACGUAGGUGGCAAGCGUUGUCCGGAUUUACUGGGCGUAAAGGAUGCGUAGGCGGAUUUUUAAGUGAGAUGUGAAAACCCUAAGCUUAACUUGGGGACUGCAUUUCAUACUGGAAAUCUAGAGUGCGGGAGAGGAGAAUGGAAUUCCUAGUGUAGCGGUGAAAUGCGUAGAGAUUAGGAAGAACACCAGUGGCGAAGGCGAUUCUCUGGACCGUAACUGACGCUGAGGCAUGAAAAGCGUGGGGUAGCAAAACAGGAUUAGAUACCCUGGUAGUCCACGCCGUAAACGAUGAGUACUAGGUGUAGGAGGUAUCGACCCCCUUCUGUGCCGCAGUUAACACAAUAAGUACUCCGCCUGGGGAAGUACGAUCGCAAGAUUAAAAACUCAAAGGAAUUGACGGGGGUCAUAGCUG
RNAcentral lists this ribosomal RNA (563 nucleotides) under uncultured bacterium. RNAcentral describes it as "partial 16S ribosomal RNA". It matches the Rfam family "Bacterial small subunit ribosomal RNA", at positions 355 to 928 of the family's 1533-position model. The record is from RNAcentral.